ACAGCAGUCGCCACGGUAAUACGGAGGGUGCAAGCGUUAUCCGGAUUUAUUGGGUUUAAAGGGUCCGUAGGCGGAUCUGUAAGUCAGUGGUGAAAUCUCACAGCUUAACUGUGAAACUGCCAUUGAUACUGCAGGUCUUGAGUAAAUUUGAAGUGGCUGGAAUAAGUAGUGUAGCGGUGAAAUGCAUAGAUAUUACUUAGAACACCAAUUGCGAAGGCAGGUCACUAAGAUUUAACUGACGCUGAUGGACGAAAGCGUGGGGAGCGAACAGGAUUAGAUACCCCGGUAGUCCCUGUCUCUUAUAC
RNAcentral lists this ribosomal RNA (305 nucleotides) under uncultured bacterium. RNAcentral's name for it is "partial 16S ribosomal RNA". It matches the Rfam family "Bacterial small subunit ribosomal RNA", at positions 505 to 807 of the family's 1533-position model. The record is from RNAcentral.